RNAcentral lists this ribosomal RNA (391 nucleotides) under Uncinaria sp. SAN-2011. Its description in RNAcentral is "eukaryotic LSU rRNA". It matches the Rfam family "Eukaryotic large subunit ribosomal RNA", at positions 430 to 805 of the family's 3401-position model. Lineage: Eukaryota; Metazoa; Nematoda; Chromadorea; Rhabditida; Ancylostomatidae. The record is from RNAcentral.
GAGUUGACGUAGUCGGCUAACUAAGUUUGCCAAAGUCGCUUAAUUGUGGCAGCGGCAGAUGUAUGUUGCCUAUGGCUGCGCUGACAGCGCUGGCUAUGCGUUCCGAACCGUUUGCGUUGCCCACUUCGGUGGUGUCUUGUCUGCGGGUAGGUUUGUCGUAGCUAGUGUUUUAUCCUGCUUGCAGGGUGUCAGUGUGAAAGUCGACCACCUCUCCGACCCGUCUUGAAACACGGACCGAGGAGUGUAACUUGUACGCGAGUCAAAGGGUGGAAAACCCCAAGGCGAAAUGAAAGUAAAGGUCGGUUAACUGGCUGACAUGGGAUUCGCCUUUUGAGGUGACGCACCAUGGCCCUGUCUCGUCUGCUUGCAGAUGGGCAGCGGUAGAGCGUAC